Molecule: non-coding RNA, 45 nt
Organism: Monodelphis domestica (gray short-tailed opossum)
Lineage: Eukaryota; Metazoa; Chordata; Mammalia; Didelphimorphia; Didelphidae
Source: Rfam
AAUCUGGUGUUUUUCAACACCACCUAGAUAAGGAAUGACAGGAAG